CCUACGGGUGGCAGCAGUGGGGAAUAUUGGGCAAUGGGCGCAAGCCUGACCCAGCAACGCCGCGUGAAGGAAGAAGGCUUUCGGGUUGUAAACUUCUUUUCUCAGGGACGAAGCAAGUGACGGUACCUGAGGAAUAAGCCACGGCUAACUACGUGCCAGCAGCCGCGGUAAUACGUAGGUGGCAAGCGUUAUCCGGAUUUACUGGGUGUAAAGGGCGUGUAGGCGGGAAAGUAAGUCAGAUGUGAAAACCAUGGUCUAAACCUGUGGACUGCAUUUGACACUGGUAUUCUUGAGUACUGGGGAGGCAGACGGAAUUCGUAGUGUAGCGGUGAAAUGCGUAGAUAUUAGGAGGAACACCAGUGGCGAAGGCGGUCUGCUGGACAGCAACUGACGCUGAGGCGCGAAAGCGUGGGGAGCAAACAGGAUUAGAUACCCGUGUAGUC
This 443-nucleotide ribosomal RNA is filed under the name uncultured bacterium. RNAcentral describes it as "partial 16S ribosomal RNA". It matches the Rfam family "Bacterial small subunit ribosomal RNA", at positions 338 to 795 of the family's 1533-position model. The record is from RNAcentral.